GAACUGAAGAGUUUGAUCAUGGCUCAGAUUGAACGCUGGCGGCAGGCCUAACACAUGCAAGUCGAGCGGUAGAGAGGUGCUUGCACCUCUUGAGAGCGGCGGACGGGUGAGUAAUACCUAGGAAUCUGCCUGAUAGUGGGGGAUAACGUUCGGAAACGGACGCUAAUACCGCAUACGUCCUACGGGAGAAAGCAGGGGACCUUCGGGCCUUGCGCUAUCAGAUGAGCCUAGGUCGGAUUAGCUAGUUGGUGAGGUAAUGGCUCACCAAGGCUACGAUCCGUAACUGGUCUGAGAGGA
Molecule: ribosomal RNA, 297 nt
Filed under: Pseudomonas sp.
Lineage: Bacteria; Pseudomonadati; Pseudomonadota; Gammaproteobacteria; Pseudomonadales; Pseudomonadaceae
Description: partial 16S ribosomal RNA
Rfam family: Bacterial small subunit ribosomal RNA
Source: RNAcentral